Molecule: long non-coding RNA, 707 nt
Organism: Lycium barbarum (goji berry)
Lineage: Eukaryota; Viridiplantae; Streptophyta; Magnoliopsida; Solanales; Solanaceae
Exons: 2
Source: RefSeq, a predicted model, not a curated record
ACACCACACGUACUGCUAAGCAUCAUAGGUCGACUAAGAUUAGUUCACGCAACACAAUAUAAAGUCAAUAAGAUAAGCAGAUAAGUCAAUGAAACUCAAGUUCUAAAUUAAGGUUAUUACAUCCCCGUAGUUGGCCUUCCCACUCUCGCUAUUCAAUUCUUUUAAUUCCAAGAAUUACGGGCGAUCUACUUACUCACAGUCGUUCCCUCCCUUCCAUCCAACCUAUUCCCUCAUGUCUGCAUACUCAUCGUAUACUCUAGCUUCUACCCUUUAUGUAUCUAUUGAAGAAGGUGGAGACUCCAGCAGUACGACAUAGCUUCAGGCAAGGGAACAAGGUGGCAGACUCGUUGGCUCGACAUGGAGUGCAACAACCUUUUGGAACUCAUCCUCUCUUAGUAUUAUCCCCUAUCGAAGAUAUAUUACCACUUUUGCAAGCCGAUAAAGAUGGCGUAGUAUCUAUUAAAGUAGUAAACCAAUCUACAUGUAAUAGUUUAGCUAUUCUUGGCAAUCUGUGUGUAACCUCUACUAUCGAUGGAGCUCCCGAACGACCAUCUAAUGUAAUUCUCUAGUAUUAAUAAUUUAAUUAUCCAACCGGUUGUCGGUCCGGUCCGGUCCUGUUACGACCGGUUAACGGACUUAAUCUCAGGUUGUACCGUCCCUUUCUCCUUUUCUUUCCCCUAAAAAUCCAAAAUGCACUUUGGAUCCCU